UAAUACAAAAAUUAGCCAGGCGUGGUGGUGUGCACCUGUAGUCCCAGCUACUCGGGAGGCUGAGGCAGGGGAAUCGCUUGAACCUGGGAGGCGGAGGUUGCAGUGAGCUGAGAUCGCACCACUGCACUCCAGCCUGGGUGACAGAGCGAGACUCUGUCUCAAAAUAAAUAAAUAAAUAAAUAAAAAGGAGACACGGAUGCAGAGGAGAAGGCCAUGUGGAGACGGAGGCAGAGAGUGGAGUGAUAUGGCCACAAGCCCAGGGACCCCAGAGUCCCCAGGAGCUGGGAGAAGCGGGAAGGAUCCUCAUUAGUCCAUGAAAAUGGACUAAUACAGGAGGACGGAGAUAGAAACAGACAGGGAGAGACAGAGAGAGAGAAAGAGAUACAAAGAGACACAGAGAGGGGAGACAGAGAGAGGGAGAGAGAAAAACAGAGACAGAAAAACAGACAUAGACAGAGAUAGUGGGUGAUGGACAGAGAGAGACAGAUAGAAACAGAGAGAGACAGAGAUACAAAGAGACACAGAGAAGGGAGACAGAGGGAAAAAGAAAGAAAAACAGAAACAGACAGAGACAAAGAGACAGAGUAGGUGAUGGACAGAGAGAGACAGAGAUAGAAACAGACAGGGAGAGACGGAGAUACAAAGAGACACAGAGAGGGGAGACAGAGAGGGAAAGAGAAAAAGAGACAGAAAAACAGAGAGACAUAGACAAAGACAGACAGAGUGGGUGAUGGACAGAGAGAGAGACAGAAACGGAGAGACAGAAAGACAUAGAUACAAAGAGAGAGGGAAAGAGAAAAACAGAAAAACAGAAACAGAGAGACAUAGAGAGACAAAGAGACAGAGUGGGUGAUGGACAGAGAGAGACAGAGAUAGAAACGGAGACAGAGAGAGAGAGACAGAGAUACAAAGAGACAGAGAGAGGGAAAGAAAAACAGAGACAGAGAGGAAAACAGAAGCAGAGAGACAGAGAGAGUGGGUGAUGUAGUUUGGCUGUGUCCCCACCCAAAUCUCAUCUUGAAUUGUAGCCCUUAUAACUCCCACGUGUUGUGAGAGGGACUGGGUAGGACAUAACUGAAUCAUGGGGGCAGUUUCCCCCCACACUGUUCUCGGGGUAGUGAAUAAGUCUCACGAGAUCUAAUGGUUUAAUAAGGGAAACCUUUCUCUCGGCUCUCAUUUUUUUUUUUUUUUUUUUUUUCUCGAGACGGAGUCUCACUCUGUCACCCAGGCUGGAGUGCAGUGGCGCGAUCUCAACUCACUGCAACCUCUGCCUCCCGGGUUCAAGCGAUUCUCCUGCUUCAGCCUCCCGAGUAGCUGGGACCACAGGCGCCUGCCACCACCACGUCUGGGUGCUGUGAUUACAGGCAUGAGUCACUGCGCCCGGCGACUGUCUCAUUCUGUCUUGCCCGCUGACAUGUAAGACAUGCCUUUCCUCCUCCUUCACCUUCUGCCGUGAUCGUGAGGCCUCCCCAGCCACAUGGAACUAUACUUCAAAUUACUUCUCCUAUGCAUUUGGAGAGCGGGAGAGAAAAACACCAGGAAGGAAGAGGGAACAAAGAAACUCUACAGGCAGAGACACAGGACUGAGCCGCGUUGGGGGCACUGGGAGGAGUGAGCCUUGGGGUUGCACCCUCGGAGCCCCACUGUCCUGGGAGCAGCCUUCAGAACCACCCUUUUGUUCUCUGAAGUACCAGGCGUUCAGCUUUUCCAAGGACUGGCAGCUGCACAUCUUUGUCCCUGCCCCUUCCAUCUCUAGGCUCAGCCCCGCUGGGCAGCCUGGCCCACUCCCCACCCCUGCCCAGGGCCAACCCCUACUUCCCAUGCCCCCUCUGCCCACCUGCAGCACACUGGAGCCUUGGAGGCCCUCUCUGCAUCAUUCAAGAUGCAGACUCCUACACUUUGACCUGCACACAUCCUCCUGAAGCUUCCACUUCCUGGCCCCUGCCUGGCUUCUCACCUCCCCCACCUCCGCCCCCCAGGGGAUGUGCCGCCUCUCCCAGUGGCCCAGGACAUCCUCCACUUCCCGGGAACCCCAGGCACUUCCACAUCCUCAGACACAGUGAGAAGAUGACCCUCUCUCCAAGCCAGGAAGAGACCUCCCGAGGAGCCCAGCCAGCCAGCACGCUGACCUCCAACGUCCAGCCUCUGGAAAUGGGAUACCGAAGGCUGCGCUCCUGCCCCGCACCAGGAUGUGGGAACUUUGAGAACCGCUGGAGAGUCGAGAGAUGUCAUCGAAACGACACCCGAU
Molecule: long non-coding RNA, 2248 nt
Filed under: Homo sapiens (human)
Lineage: Eukaryota; Metazoa; Chordata; Mammalia; Primates; Hominidae
Description: HSALNT0287817
Rfam family: Metazoan signal recognition particle RNA (bases 15-162)
Source: RNAcentral